This 485-nucleotide ribosomal RNA is filed under the name uncultured bacterium. RNAcentral describes it as "partial 16S ribosomal RNA". It matches the Rfam family "Bacterial small subunit ribosomal RNA", at positions 28 to 523 of the family's 1533-position model. The record is from RNAcentral.
GAUGAACGCUAGCGGCAGGCCUAAUACAUGCAAGUCGAACGGUGUCUUCGGACAUAGUGGCGCACGGGUGCGUAACACGUAUGCAACCUACCUUACAUUGGGGGAUAGCCUUUCGAAAGGGAGAUUAAUACCGCAUAAGACAGUAGCUGGGCAUCCAGCAGCUGUUAAAGAUUUAUCGAUGUAAGCUGGGCAUGCGUCCAAUUAGCUAGUUGGUGAGGUAACGGCUCACCAAGGCAAUGAUUGGUAGGGGAACUGAGAGGUCAAUCCCCCACACUGGCACUGAGAUACGGGGCAGACUCCUACGGGAGGCAGCAGUAGGGAAUAUUGGGCAAUGGACGAAAGUCUGACCCAGCCAUGCCGCGUGCAGGAUGAAGGCGUUAUGCGUUGUAAACUGCUUUUAUACAGGAAGAAACGACUCUUGCGAGAGGCAUUGACGGUACUGUAUGAAUAAGCACCGGCUAACUCCGUGCCAGCCGCCGCCGUAA